GUUAAAUAUUAAACCAUAAAAAAAGUCUCAACAAAUAUAGAAAGAUUGAAGUCAUAACAUGCAACUUUUCUGACCACAGUGCUAUGGAACUAGAAAUAAACCACCAGAAAAAAAUUUGGAAAAAUCACAUAUAUA
This is a long non-coding RNA of Lynx canadensis (Canada lynx), 135 nucleotides long. RefSeq lists it as uncharacterized. The transcript is spliced from 4 exons. Lineage: Eukaryota; Metazoa; Chordata; Mammalia; Carnivora; Felidae. The record is from RefSeq and is a predicted model, not a curated record.